RNAcentral lists this ribosomal RNA (303 nucleotides) under uncultured bacterium. RNAcentral describes it as "partial 16S ribosomal RNA". It matches the Rfam family "Bacterial small subunit ribosomal RNA", at positions 507 to 808 of the family's 1533-position model. The record is from RNAcentral.
AGCAGUCGCCACGGUAAUACGUAGGUCCCGAGCGUUGUCCGGAUUUAUUGGGCGUAAAGCGAGCGCAGGCGGUUAGAUAAGUCUGAAGUUAAAGGCUGUGGCUUAACCAUAGUACGCUUUGGAAACUGUUUAACUUGAGUGCAAGAGGGGAGAGUGGAAUUCCAUGUGUAGCGGUGAAAUGCGUAGAUAUAUGGAGGAACACCGGUGGCGAAAGCGGCUCUCUGGCUUGUAACUGACGCUGAGGCUCGAAAGCGUGAGGAGCAAACAGGAUUAGAUACCCCAGUAGUCCCUGUCUCUUAUACA